RNAcentral lists this transfer RNA (64 nucleotides) under Dipodomys ordii (Ord's kangaroo rat). It matches the Rfam family "tRNA". Rfam says of the family: Transfer RNA (tRNA) molecules are approximately 80 nucleotides in length. Their secondary structure includes four short double-helical elements and three loops (D, anti-codon, and T loops). Lineage: Eukaryota; Metazoa; Chordata; Mammalia; Rodentia; Heteromyidae. The record is from Rfam by way of RNAcentral.
GGUGGCUUAGUGGUAGAGUACUUGCUUUGCAUGCAUGAGGCCCUGAGUUGAUUCCUCAGUACCA